UGCUCCACAGUGGAAACGCAACGAAAUUUAAAUUCAUGCGGAUCUGAAUUUCAGCUCCAUUUCAUUGUGAAGUUGCAGCAAUGAUCUGUUUGUGUAAUUAUCUUGGCUGCCUGGGCCUGUCUUUCAGUUUUUUCUGUAUUCACUCAGUUAUGGACAUCGGACACGGCACGGCACGGCACGACACGAACGAGGAGUUGGCUUUGGUGUUUACACUCAGCUUUUUGGUGCACUUUUUUUCUGCUUUGUCUGCUGUCCUGUCCGUAAUUAAAAAUUCAUCAUACGCCACGUUGACUGUGGCCCACACAAAAAGAAAGAGACAGCCAAAGAGCAAGGAUGAAGCGACGGGGAAAAACGCGAGUGUGCAACUAAAUGAACUUCAAAGUUUUUACACCAAAACUAAUUGGAAAACAAUUAAGGAACCACCGACGCUCAACGGACUCUGAAAGCUGAACAAAUGAAAGCGGAAUCAAGCAGAAGAGUUUCGCACUAAAUAUAGCUAGCCCCCCCUUGCUGACUGCUUUGUUUAUAGUAUAGUUUAUAAUACAUAAUAUUUAUAAUCAAAAUCCACAGGAUUCGUCCGACUGCAACCCAGAAGAACUUUCAGCUUUCAGCUUUGGGCUUUUGCUACUUUGGCCACUUGUUUCUGUCUUGUUCGUCACAGAGCCCCCUCCUGUUGUUCUUUACCCGACUCUAGCAGGACAAACAAAACUAUGGCAACAUGAAAUUUGUUUCGGAUCCCCGCACAGGGAGCAGGCACUGGCACUGGGACAGGCCAAUCGAGUGGAGCCAAGCAAGGCACUGGCCCCUUGGUCAGCUUGUUACAGCCAAAAGGCAAUGCCCGGCUUAAUCAAUUGACGAUUUAAAUUGACACUGCCCUGGAGACACGCUCCUCUCCUCCUCCUUCGCCUGCUUUCAGCUUCCUCCGAACUAGGCCAAAUAUUCAAUGUACAUCAAUUGGCUUUGUCGCAACAGUCAGCCGCCAACAGCCUGCUCCUGCUGCUGCUCUAGCUCUAGCUGUAGCUCCACCCACAUCCUGUCAUGGCAGCUUCCGGCCUGGCCACACGUCGCGUGCGUGUUGCCAAAAAAACGGAAAUGCACAAAUCAUGGACCGCAUGCCAUUGUUGCAGCCGCCAGCCAGAACGGAAAUAAAUGCGAAACAUAUGCGUGGAGGCAGGCAGAGGCAGUGACUGCCGAACUCUCAUGCCCAAGCUUGGAUACGCUGCACAGCUGGGGAGUAAUUAAUUGGCACAGCAUCUACAUCGAGAUGCAAACACACCCAAGACGAGCAAGCAGAGAGACCUUCCGCACUGCUCUGGGGAAGAGUAGAGGAAAUUCGCCGCCGACAAACAAAACGCGCAACCGAAGCGAAAUCCACUACUGACACACAGCACAGAGAUGCAAACGAAUCCAAACCCCCCUCCCCACGAAGGCUGCUGUAGAGAGUGGAAUGUUUACACAUGUUAUGGCCAGAACGGCUCCAGUUGCAGCUGCAGUUCUGCUGUCAGCAACUUGGGCACGUUCGCUGCAAUUGAAACUUAAACUUUUUUCACAAAAUGCGAAACACAAAAUUGUUGCAACAAUAACAAAUGUCGGGGGCUAAGAAAAUAAAUAAAGAGUGGAAUCAUGC
Molecule: long non-coding RNA, 1627 nt
Organism: Drosophila obscura
Lineage: Eukaryota; Metazoa; Arthropoda; Insecta; Diptera; Drosophilidae
Exons: 3
Source: RefSeq, a predicted model, not a curated record